UGGGGAAUAUUGCACAAUGGGCGCAAGCCUGAUGCAGCCAUGCCGCGUGUGUGAAGAAGGCCUUCGGGUUGUAAAGCACUUUCAGCGAGGAGGAAGGUGGUGAACUUAAUACGUUCAUCAAUUGACGUUACUCGCAGAAGAAGCACCGGCUAACUCCGUGCCAGCAGCCGCGGUAAUACGGAGGGUGCAAGCGUUAAUCGGAAUUACUGGGCGUAAAGCGCACGCAGGCGGUUUGUUAAGUCAGAUGUGAAAUCCCCGGGCUCAACCUGGGAACUGCAUUUGAAACUGGCAAGCUAGAGUCUCGUAGAGGGGGGUAGAAUUCCAGGUGUAGCGGUGAAAUGCGUAGAGAUCUGGAGGAAUACCGGUGGCGAAGGCGGCCCCCUGGACGAAGACUGACGCUCAGGUGCGAAAGCGUGGGGAGCAAACAGGAUUAGAUACCCCUGGUAGGUCCACGCUGUAAAACCGAUGUUCGAUUUUGGAGGUUGUGCCCUUGAGGCGUGGCUUCCGGAGCUAACGUGUUAAAUCGA
This 527-nucleotide ribosomal RNA is filed under the name uncultured bacterium. RNAcentral's name for it is "partial 16S ribosomal RNA". It matches the Rfam family "Bacterial small subunit ribosomal RNA", at positions 355 to 867 of the family's 1533-position model. The record is from RNAcentral.